Molecule: ribosomal RNA, 462 nt
Filed under: uncultured bacterium
Lineage: Bacteria
Description: partial 16S ribosomal RNA
Rfam family: Bacterial small subunit ribosomal RNA
Source: RNAcentral
GAUGAACGCUGACAGAAUGCUUAACACAUGCAAGUCAUUGGCGAAGCUGCGCUUGCGCAGUCUAGCCAAGGCGGACGGGUGAGUAACGCGUAAGGAACUUGCCCUGCAGACAGGGAUAACAGACGGAAACGACUGAUAACACCUGGUAUUGUCAGGCUGGCGCAUGCCGGCCUGAUGAAAGGAGACGCUGCAGGAGAGCCUUGCGUCCUAUUAGCUAGUUGGUGGGGUAACGGCCCACCAAGGCGAUGAUAGGUAGCCGGCCUGAGAGGGUGAACGGCCACAAGGGGACUGAGAUACGGCCCUUACUCCUACGGGAGGCAGCAGUGGAGAAUAUUGGACAAUGGGGGCAACCCUGAUACAGCAAUUCUGUGUGCACGAAGAAGGUUUUCGGAUUGUAAAGUGCUUUCAGCAGGGAAGAAGAAAGUGACGGUACCUGCAGAAGAAGCGACGGCUAGAUACGUG